Molecule: ribosomal RNA, 495 nt
Filed under: uncultured bacterium
Lineage: Bacteria
Description: partial 16S ribosomal RNA
Rfam family: Bacterial small subunit ribosomal RNA
Source: RNAcentral
GAUGAACGCUAGCGGGAGGCCUAACACAUGCAAGCCGAGCGGUAUUGUUUCUUCGGAAAUGAGAGAGCGGCGUACGGGUGCGUAACACGUGUGCAACCUGCCUUUAUCUGGGGGAUAGCCUUUCGAAAGGAAGAUUAAUACUCCAUAAUAUAACUGAAUGGCAUCAUUUAGAUAUUAAAGCUCCGGCGGUUAAAGAUGGGCGUGCGUCUGAUUAGGUAGUUGGCGGGGUAACGGCCCACCAAGCCUGCGAUCAGUAGCGGAUGUGAGAGCAUGAUCAGCCACACGGGCACUGAGACACGGGCCCGACUCCUACGGGAGGCAGCAGUAAGGAAUAUUGGUCAAUGGACGCAAGUCUGAACCAGCCAUGCCGCGUGGAGGAUGAAGGCCCUCUGGGUUGUAAACUUCUUUUCUUUGGGACGAAACCCCUGUUUCUACGGGGACUGACGGUACCAGAGGAAUAAGCACCGGCUAACUCCGUGCCAGCCGCCGCCGUAA